AAGGGUCUCCGUGGUGGCCCCGGGCGGGCGGAGGAGCGCGGUUCGCCGGCAGCAGGCGGGGACGCCGCACGGGAACGCUCUCUCCCGGUGCGGAUUUCAUACUCUUGUUUAUUUUGCUUUCUUCCCAACGGGCUCACACAGCCCUCCCAGGAACCCAGACAAACGGGGUGACCCCCCCCACCCUCCAAUUACACACAAAGUCAGGACAGCGCUUCUCCUGAGCCUCCCCCCUGCCCCGUCUCUCCCCACGGGGGUCCCCUGGUGACCCCGAAUCCCACCCAGGGCAGCUCAGCAGCAGUUCUUCCCUCCGGGGAUGCGCCCGCCCGGAUGGUCUGAACUCUGCUGACACGGAUAAAGGAAGGGGGUGUCUCUGGGAGCCCCCUCCCAGCCUGUCAGAGGGUCUGGACACCGAGACACCCUCUACCGUGCACACACACACACACACACGGGCGCUCAGUACCGGUCACAGCCGGCUCCCCGGUCCCACCGGAGAGGCUUUGCUUCCCACUGCCGGGGAGGACCCGCUCGGCCCCGAUGACACUGCAGCACUGAGCAGUCCCCCGGUCCCAACCCGUUCCCGGGGGGUUCCGGUGGGCGGCGAUCCCGCAGGCCCCCACGGAACGGGGGCCACAACCCAGCACGGCAUCCCUCGGCUCCCUCCCGGUGGGCCCGGCCCCGGUAAGGGGAGAGCAGCGGUGAGCGUGUUCCAUCCCACCCGCGGCCGAGCCCCCCACGCCAGGAAACGGCCACGGGCGAGACGCCGCCGUGUCCCGCCGCCCGCGGGGGGAAAAGCACCGAGCCAGGAGGCCGCCCGCGGCGGGAGCAGGUCGGGGAGGACGCUCACCGGGGAACCCGCGGGGCCACCGCCCCUACCGGGAGCGGGGACCCGCCGCGGGCCAGGCCGCGGCCGCGCCGGACUCGGCGGGGGCUGAGCGUCCGGGGUCACACCGAGGCCCCGGGGCAGCCGGUCCGCUGGGCGGGAGGCGGCCGCGGUGCCCCGGGAAACGGCGGGCGGGGCCGGGGCCGGGCCGG
RNAcentral lists this long non-coding RNA (1032 nucleotides) under Calidris pygmaea (Spoon-billed sandpiper). Its description in RNAcentral is "lncRNA (ENSCPGG00000013837.1)". The record is from RNAcentral. Lineage: Eukaryota; Metazoa; Chordata; Aves; Charadriiformes; Scolopacidae.